UAACUGAAGAGUUUGAUCAUGGCUCAGAUUGAACGCUGGCGGCAGGCUUAACACAUGCAAGUCGAGCGGGCGAGGUUGCUUCGGUAACUGAGCUAGCGGCGGACGGGUGAGUAA
Molecule: ribosomal RNA, 114 nt
Filed under: Acinetobacter towneri
Lineage: Bacteria; Pseudomonadati; Pseudomonadota; Gammaproteobacteria; Moraxellales; Moraxellaceae
Description: partial 16S ribosomal RNA
Rfam family: Bacterial small subunit ribosomal RNA
Source: RNAcentral